This 86-nucleotide transfer RNA is filed under the name Spirochaetaceae bacterium. RNAcentral's name for it is "tRNA-Leu". It matches the Rfam family "tRNA". Rfam says of the family: Transfer RNA (tRNA) molecules are approximately 80 nucleotides in length. The record is from RNAcentral. Lineage: Bacteria; Pseudomonadati; Spirochaetota; Spirochaetia; Spirochaetales; Spirochaetaceae. RNAcentral also lists the same sequence under 1 other name.
GCUGCGGUGGUGGAAUUGGUAGACACGCUAGCUUGAGGGGCUAGUGGGAGUUAAAUCCCGUGAAGGUUCAAGUCCUUUCCGCAGCA